GAUGAACGCUGGCGGCGUGCCUAAUACAUGCAAGUCGAGCGAACAGAUGAGGAGCUUGCUCCUCUGACGUUAGCGGCGGACGGGUGAGUAACACGUGGAUAACCUACCUAUAAGACUGGGAUAACUGCGGGAAACCGGCGCUAAUACCGGAUAAUAUAUUGAACCGCAUGGUUCAAUAGUGAAAGACGGUUUUGCUGUCGCUUAUAGAUGGAUACGCGCCGCAUUAGCUAGUUGGUAAGGUAACGGGUUACCAAGGCAACGAUGCGUAGCCGACCUGAGAGGGUGAUCGCCCACACGGGAACUGAGACACGGUCCAGACUACUGCGGGAGGCAGCAGUAGGGAAUCUUCCGCAGUGGGCGAGAGCAUGGCGGAGCAACGCCGAGUGAGUGAUGAAGGUCUUCGGAUCGUAAAAAUCUGUUAUUAGGGAAGAACAAAUGUGUAAGUAAAUAUGCACGUAUUGACGGUACCUAAUCAGAAAGCCACGGCUAACUACGUG
Molecule: ribosomal RNA, 497 nt
Filed under: uncultured bacterium
Lineage: Bacteria
Description: partial 16S ribosomal RNA
Rfam family: Bacterial small subunit ribosomal RNA
Source: RNAcentral